RNAcentral lists this ribosomal RNA (260 nucleotides) under uncultured prokaryote. RNAcentral describes it as "partial 16S ribosomal RNA". It matches the Rfam family "Bacterial small subunit ribosomal RNA", at positions 524 to 782 of the family's 1533-position model. The record is from RNAcentral.
UACGUAGGGUGCGAGCGUUGUCCGGAAUUACUGGGCGUAAAGAGCUCGUAGGUGGUUUGUCACGUCGUCUGUGAAAUUCCGGGGCUUAACCUCGGGCGUGCAGGCGAUACGGGCAAUACUUGAGUGCUGUAGGGGAGACUGGAAUUCCUGGUGUAUCGGUGAAAUGCGCAGAUAUCAGGAGGAACACCAAUGGCGAAGGCAGGUCUCUGGGCAGUUACUGACGCUGAGGAGCGAAAGCAUGGGUAGCGAACAGGAUUAGA